AAAAACCCAGGUGGUGUGAGAUGGAUCCGCGUCUGAUUAGCCAGUUGGCGGGGUAACGGCCCACCAAAGCGACGAUCAGUAGCCGACCUGAGAGGGUGACCGGCCACAUUGGGACUGAGACACGGCCCAAACUCCUACGGGAGGCAGCAGUGGGGAAUAUUGCACAAUGGGCGCAAGCCUGAUGCAGCGACGCCGCGUGAGUGAAGAAGUAUCUCGGUAUGUAAAGCUCUAUCAGCAGGGAAGAAAAUGACGGUACCUGACUAAGAAGCCCCGGCUAACUACGUGCCAGCAGCCGCGGUAAUACGUAGGGGGCAAGCGUUAUCCGGAUUUACUGGGUGUAAAGGGAGCGUAGACGGCGACGCAAGUCUGGAGUGAAAGCCCGGGGCCCAACCCCGGGACUGCUUUGGAAACUGUGCUGCUGGAGUGCAGGAGAGGUAAGUGGAAUUCCUAGUGUAGCGGUGAAAUGCGUAGAUAUUAGGAGGAACACCAGUGGCGAAGGCGGCUUACUGGACUGUAACUGACGUUGAGGCUCGAAAGCGUGGGGAGCAAACAGGAUUAGAUACCCUGGUAGUCCACGCCGUAAA
Molecule: ribosomal RNA, 584 nt
Filed under: uncultured bacterium
Lineage: Bacteria
Description: bacterial SSU rRNA
Rfam family: Bacterial small subunit ribosomal RNA
Source: RNAcentral